RNAcentral lists this ribosomal RNA (944 nucleotides) under uncultured archaeon. RNAcentral describes it as "bacterial SSU rRNA". It matches the Rfam family "Archaeal small subunit ribosomal RNA", at positions 1 to 921 of the family's 1478-position model. The record is from RNAcentral.
UUCCGGUUGAUCCUGCCGGACCCCACUGCUAUCGGGAUGGGACUAAGACAUGCUAGUUGUGCGCCUCCUAGCCAUGGUGGAGGCGCGGCGCACAGCUCAGUAGCACGUGGCUAACCUGCCCUUGGGACAGGGAUAACCCCGGGAAACUGGGGCUAAUCCCUGGUAGGUGAGGAAUCCUGGAAUGGAUCCUCGCCGAAAGGGCGUCUAGGGCAUGCUUCUAGGCGCUGCCCAAGGAUGGGGCCGCGGCCGAUCAGGUUGUUGGUGAGGUAACGGCUCACCAAGCCUUCGACCGGUGCGGGCCGUGAGAGCGGGAGCCCGGAAAUGGGCACUGAGAACAAGGGCCCAGGCCCUACGGGGCGCAGCAGUCGCGAAACCUCCGCAAUACGCGAAAGCGUGACGGGGCCAUCCCGAGUGCCGUCCGCUGAGGACGGCUUUUCCCAGUGUACACAGCUGGGGGAAUAAGGAGAGGGCAAGCCUGGUGUCAGCCGCCGCGGUAACACCAGCUCUCCGAGUGGUGGGGACGCUUAUUGGGCCUAAAGCAUCCGUAGCCGGCUGGGCAAGUCCCUCGUUAAAUCCAGCGAUUCAAUCGUUGGACUGCGGGGGAUACUGUCCAGCUAGGGGGCGGGAGAGGCCGACGGUAUUCCCGGGGUAGGGGUGAAAUCCUAUAAUCCCGGGAGGACCACCAGUGGCGAAGGCUGUCGGCUGGAACGCGCCCGACGGUGAGGGAUGAAAGCUGGGGGAGCGAACCGGAUUAGAUACCCGGGUAGUCCCAGCCGUAAACGAUGCAGGCUAGGUGUUGGAGCGGCUACGAGCCGCUUCAGUGCCGCAGGGAAGCCGUUAAGCCUGCCGCCUGGGGAGUACGGCCGCAAGGCUGAAACUUAAAGGAAUUGGCGGGGGAGCACCACAAGGGGUGAAGCUUGCGGUUUAAUUGGAUUCAACGCCGG